GGAUGAACUUUAUUUUUAAUGAAGAUCCAGACCACUUCGCAGUAAUGAAGAAAUAACAUAUGCUGAUCCAACAUUCUACAAAAGAAAAGCACAAAAAACAAGAGUUCAAGAGGAGGAAGAUGUGGUGUAUGCAGGAGUCGCCAUGAGACACUGAUAAAACUAUGAUUCUGUUGAAGAACUGCCAACUUUCUAAAACCCAAAAGAAGGAGGUGGAUUAUUAGUGUGGA
This is a long non-coding RNA of Sinocyclocheilus anshuiensis, 227 nucleotides long. RefSeq lists it as uncharacterized. The record is from RefSeq and is a predicted model, not a curated record. NCBI's taxonomy places the organism in Eukaryota, Metazoa, Chordata, Actinopteri, Cypriniformes, Cyprinidae. The transcript is spliced from 3 exons.